AGUAACGCGUGGUCAACCUACCGUUGAGUGGGGGAUAACUAGCCGAAAGGUUAGCUAAUACCGCAUACGUCUCCGAGUGGCAUCACUUGGCGAUAAAAGGAGCAAUCCGCUCGAUGACGGGACCGCGUCCCAUUAGCUAGAUGGUGGGGUAACGGCCUACCAUGGCUCCGAUGGGUAGCUGGUUUGAGAGAGCGACCAGCCACACUGGGACUGAGAAACGGCCCAG
Molecule: ribosomal RNA, 226 nt
Filed under: uncultured bacterium
Lineage: Bacteria
Description: partial 16S ribosomal RNA
Rfam family: Bacterial small subunit ribosomal RNA
Source: RNAcentral